GAUGAACGCUGGCGGCGUGCCUAAUACAUGCAAGUCGAGCGAAUGGAUUAAGAGCUUGCUCUUAUGAAGUUAGCGGCGGACGGGUGAGUAACACGUGGGUAACCUGCCCAUAAGACUGGGAUAACUCCGGGAAACCGGGGCUAAUACCGGAUAACAUUUUGAACCGCAUGGUUCGAAAUUGAAAGGCGGCUUCGGCUGUCACUUAUGGAUGGACCCGCGUCGCAUUAGCUAGUUGGUGAGGUAACGGCUCACCAAGGCAACGACGCGUAGCCGACCUGAGAGGGUGAUCGGCCACACUGGGACUGGGACACGGCCCAGACUCCUACGGGAGGCAGCAGUAGGGAAUCUUCCGCAAUGGACGAAAGUCUGACGGAACAACGCCGCGUGAGUGAUGAAGGCUUUCGGGUCGUAAAACUCUGUUGUUAGGGAAGAACAAGUGCUAGUUGAAUAAGCUGACACCUUGACGGUACCUAACCAGAAAGCCACGGCUAACUACGUGCCAGCCGCCGCUGUAA
This 515-nucleotide ribosomal RNA is filed under the name uncultured bacterium. RNAcentral's name for it is "partial 16S ribosomal RNA". It matches the Rfam family "Bacterial small subunit ribosomal RNA", at positions 28 to 523 of the family's 1533-position model. The record is from RNAcentral.